Molecule: long non-coding RNA, 2171 nt
Filed under: Mytilus galloprovincialis (Mediterranean mussel)
Lineage: Eukaryota; Metazoa; Mollusca; Bivalvia; Mytilida; Mytilidae
Source: RNAcentral
UUUAACGCUUGCACCGAAUAAAACUCAGACGUAGUCUAAUUGUUAGAAUAAGCACACUACACAUUUUUCAUUUGAUAACCAUGUAUUAUUUCAUUAUAUUCAGUUACCGUUACUUCCCUGGAAAAUCUUGCUGGCUCAUAAACUACCCUGAGUUAAUUCAGACUUAAUGUAAACAGCACAGGGUGUCAAGUAUCCAUGAUGACUAAUUUAGACUUAAUGUAAACAGCAUAGGGUGUCGAGUAUCCAUGAUGACUAAUUCAGACUUAAUGUAAACAGAACAGGGUGUCGAGUAUCCAAGAUGACUAAUUCAGACUUAAUGUAAACAGCACAGGGUGUCGAGUAUUCAUGAUGACUAAUUCAGACUUAAAAACUGUGAGUAUCAGAUGACUAAUUCAGACUUAAUGUAAACAGCACAGGGUGUCGAGUAUUCAUGAUGACUAAUUCAGACUUAAUGUAAACAGCACAGGGUGUCUAAUAUCCAAGAUGACUAAUUCAGACUUAAUGUAAACAGCACAGGGUGUCGAGUAUCCAAGAUGACUAAUUCAGACUAACUGUGAACAACGCAGUGUUGCGAGUAUCAGAUGACUAAUUAACGUUAAUCCUCUUUGUAUAUUGUUUUACAUUUCAUUUAUGACAAGAAAUUGACACAGAUGGACAACUAUAAUAAUGUAGGAUAUAACAAACAUGACUAUUUCAGUUUCGCAAUGUCCAAUUUUUCUCAGCAAUUAUACUCCCUGUCUUCAAAUGGCGUUAACAUAUCUGUUUUACUAAUGUAUUAUGGUUCACAUUACUUGGAUUUUAUAAACUUAAGUGUUCUUCUGACGGAAAAACCUAUAUUGGCAAGUUAUCAUACUUAUAACGAAUAAUUAAGCGGACUGUGUUUUUUUAUUGAGUUAAGCAUUCCAAUUGAUAUUUUAUCGUGUGUUUUCUAUAUUGUGAUGUUAUACUAUUGUUUCAGAAAAAGGGAGAAGGUUUAGUACCACUAAAACGUUUAAUCCCGAUGAAAAUGUUUGCACCUGUCCUAAGUCAGGAAUCUGAUGUACAGUAGUUGUCGUUUGUUAAUGUUAUUUAUACGUGUUUCCCGUUUCUCGUUCUCAUUGACACUCACACCACAUCUUCCUAUAUCGGUAAGCUGUGUCUGUGUCUCAUACCACGCGGUCGUAGAUCUUUCACAAAUUAGAACAGUCUUCGUAUUUCCCUUUGUUAUAGUUUUGCUAAACUUGCUUUACAUUUCGAUUGAUGCAUGAAUAUUGAAAGCUGAUUGUCCCAAAGAAGCAAGUUCAUGCGAUUUCGAGGUUUUUUUGAAGUAAAGAAACAAAAAAUGAGCCUAUGAAAUAAAUGGCUGUUCUACAUAUUUCGAAUUACGUUUAGUAAUCGUUCUUCAUGCCAACUAUUACAAAACGAAGUAUCUAUAUUGCAGAUUUUUUGUAGUUCGAACCUCUUUUACAGACACAAUAUAAAAAAGAAGAUGUGGUAUGAUUGCCAAUGUUUAGUUAUGAUUGCUGAUUUUCUGUAAUUCAACCUACUGUUACAGGGCAAAGGGUUUACUAAUGACGACAUAUAUUCAGUGUUUAGAUCUUUUGGGAGAUCUGUAGUUCAAAAUCUACCAUUGGUAGACAAUGUUUGGUUUUGUGACAGAUCUUCUACAGCCAAACUACUACUAAGAGACUAAGUGUUUGUCUUUUAUUAAGAGGACAAACGAUGAUAUAUUAGAAUACAGAAGAUAUAAUGGAUGUAAGUAUGUGAAAAAUUAACAGAUUUAGUAGAUGAUAGACAUAUGGUAUGUUCACAUUGAGUAUAUUUAGAGGACUCAUAUAUGGAAAUUGAGCAGAUUUUGACGAUUACAGACAAUUUGUGAAUAUUGCAUAGAUUAAGAGAUUGACAGAUUGAACAGGUUUUCACGAUGACAUAUUGUAUGUUAAAUAUUGUUUAGAUUUAUACGAUUAUACUUGGUAUGUGAAUAUUGAGUAGAUUUAGAGAACACAUAUAUUGACAUUGAGCAGAUUUUGAUGAUUACAGACGAUUUGUGAAUAGUACGAAGAUUAAGAGGAUGCCAUGAUUUAUGAUAUGUGUAUUUGUGUAAUGACGAACAAAAAUCUUAAAUAUACACAAAUAAUGCGACGAGUAUGCAUGAACUGAUACUUAAUACACUUGAUGAUGUUACCCAAAAC